GGUUGUGGCUCAGCGGCAGAGCGCUCACCUAGCAUGUGCCAGGUCUUGGGUUCAAUCCUCAGCACCA
This 67-nucleotide transfer RNA is filed under the name Marmota monax (woodchuck). RNAcentral describes it as "tRNA.Ala". Lineage: Eukaryota; Metazoa; Chordata; Mammalia; Rodentia; Sciuridae. The record is from RNAcentral.